GCCCGGUUAGCUCAAUCGGUAGAGCGUGAGACUCUUAAUCUCAAGGUUGCGGGUAAGUCCCAAAAUAAAACCGCACGAAAACGGAAAAUUUAACAUACUGACCUAAAAUCACAGGUUCGACCCCCGCAUCGGGCU
This is a non-coding RNA of Xylaria nigripes, 135 nucleotides long. NCBI's taxonomy places the organism in Eukaryota, Fungi, Ascomycota, Sordariomycetes, Xylariales, Xylariaceae. The record is from the annotation of a GenBank genome assembly.